RNA transcript from Ceratotherium simum simum (southern white rhinoceros), 1503 nucleotides. It is a transcript of the gene named cutC copper transporter, with no coding region annotated. NCBI's taxonomy places the organism in Eukaryota, Metazoa, Chordata, Mammalia, Perissodactyla, Rhinocerotidae. The record is from RefSeq and is a predicted model, not a curated record.
CUGCCAGCCAAAGGAGCACCACUUCCGGGUCACGCAGCGCGAGCCCCUCCUCCUCAGGACGCAGGGGCGAGCAGUGACUGCGCCUGCGCUAGCGACUUGGCUUUCGCGGGGGCCGCGGGGGCCGCUGGGGUUUGGAUGUCGGGGACGCGCAGGGGCGCGCGCGGCGGUGAGGACGCGCUUCUUUGGUCGCGCGCGCCGGAACGCGGACUCUGAGUGGAAACCGAAGACGCACGAGGGAGGAACGCGUCGAGCAUGAAGAGACAGGGGGCCUCCUCCGAGCGGAAACGGGCGCGGAUACCGUCCGGGAAGGCCGGAGCAGCAAAUGGAUUUCUCAUGGAAGUGUGUGUUGAUUCAGUGGAGUCAGCUGUAAAUGCAGAAAGAGGAGGUGCUGGUCGGAUUGAAUUAUGUUCUGGCUUAUUGGAAGGAGGAACCACACCCAGCAUGGGUGUCCUUCAAGUAGUGAAGCAAUGUGUCCAGAUCCCAGUUUUUGUGAUGAUUCGGCCACGUGGAGGUGAUUUUUUAUAUUCGGAUCGUGAAAUUGAGGUGAUGAAGGCUGACAUUCGUCUUGCCAAACUUUAUGGUGCUGAUGGUUUGGUAUUUGGGGCAUUGACUGAAGAUGGACACGUUGACAAAGAGCUGUGCAUGUCCCUUGUGGCGAUUUGCCGUCCUCUGCCCGUCACUUUCCACCGAGCCUUUGACAUGGUUCAUGAUCCAAUGGCAGCUCUAGAGACCCUCUUAACUUUGGGAUUUGAACGAGUAUUGACCAGUGGAUGUGACAGUUCAGCACUAGAAGGGUUACCCCUAAUAAAGCGACUCAUAGAUCAGGCAAAAGGCAGGAUUGUGGUAAUGCCAGGCGGUGGCAUAACAGAAAGAAAUCUGCAAAGGAUCCUUGAGGGAUCAGGUGCUACAGAAUUCCACUGUUCUGCUCGGUCUGCUAGAGAUUCAGGAAUGAAGUUUCGAAAUUCCUCUGUUGCCAUGGGAGCCUCUCUUUCUAGCUCAGAAUAUUCUCUAAAGGUAACAGAUGUGACCCAAGUAAGAACUUUGAAUGCUAUUGCAAAGAAUAUUCUGGUUUAGCCACCUCUCUGAGAGACAUGGAUAUCACAGGAUAAAGGUAGAAGAGUAGUCUACAAUUCUCUAUGAUACAGCUUUAACCUUCUUCUCUGGCCAGGGCAGUCACAAUCUUUGUUUUAAGUCUCACAUGGCCAUGGAGAAUGUUUCCAAGAAGAAAAAGAACUUGAAACAGAGCUACAGUCACUUCCUUUGCUUAAUCUUGCCAGCCGUCUCUCCAUCACAUCAUGGUUAAAUCUUGUCUAUGUGUCUUCCACAGAUAGAGGCUUAAUCUGUUUUAGUGGAAUUAAUUGAUGAACUGGGAAAAUUCAGCUGCAAGAAAUUGACAAGUUGACCCUCAAGUUCAUCUGGAAAUGCAAGAGACCGAGAAUAGCCCAACAGUCUUGAAAAAGAGCAAAAUUGGACUCACAUUUCUCAAUUUCAAAACUUACUACA